ACUACGGGAGGCAGCAGUGAGGAAUAUUGGUCAAUGGCCGGAAGGCUGAACCAGCCAAGCCGCGUGAAGGACGAAGGUGCCAAGCAUUGUACACUUCUUUUGUCACGGGACAAAAUCAGGCUCGAGAGCCUGACCGAGGGUACUUGAAGAAACAGCAUCGGCUAACUCCGUGCCAGCAGCCGCGGUAAUACGGGGGAUGCGCUCGUUAUCCGGAUUUAUUGGGUUUAAAGGGUGCGUAGGCGGGCUGUUAAGUCAGCGGUAAAAGCCCGGGGCUCAACCCCGGCGAGCCGUUGAAACUGGCUGUCUUGAGAUGUCGAGAGGUAUGCGGAAUGCGCAGUGUAGCGGUGAAAUGCUUAGAUAUCACGCAGAACGCCGAUUGCGAAGGCAGCAUACCGGCGCCCGACUGACGCUGAGGCACGAAAGCGUGGGGAUCGAACAGGAUUAGAUACCCCAGUAGUC
This 459-nucleotide ribosomal RNA is filed under the name uncultured bacterium. RNAcentral describes it as "partial 16S ribosomal RNA". It matches the Rfam family "Bacterial small subunit ribosomal RNA", at positions 338 to 795 of the family's 1533-position model. The record is from RNAcentral.